Molecule: ribosomal RNA, 793 nt
Filed under: uncultured archaeon
Lineage: Archaea
Description: bacterial SSU rRNA
Rfam family: Archaeal small subunit ribosomal RNA
Source: RNAcentral
ACGGCUCAGUAACACGUAGUCAAUCUACCCUAUGGACGGGAAUAACCUCGGGAAACUGAGAAUAAUGCCCGAUAGAACAUUAUGCCUGGAAUGGUUUAUGUUUCAAAUGAUUUAUCGCCAUAGGAUGGGACUGCGGCCUAUCAGUUUGUUGGUGAGGUAAUGGCCCACCAAGACUAUUACAGGUACGGGCUCUGAGAGGAGUAGCCCGGAGAUGGGUACUGAGACACGGACCCAGGCCCUAUGGGGCGCAGCAGGCGAGAAAACUUUGCAAUGUGCGAAAGCACGACAAGGUUAAUCCGAGUGGUUUCUGCUAAAGAAACCUUUUGUCAGUCCUAGAAACACUAACGAAUAAGGGGUGGGCAAGUUCUGGUGUCAGCCGCCGCGGUAAAACCAGCACCUCGAGUGGUCAGGAUGAUUAUUGGGCCUAAAGCAUCCGUAGCCCGUUUUGUAAGUUUUCGGUUAAAUCCAUGCGCUUAACGUAUGGGCUGCCGGGAAUACUGCAUAACUAGGAAGUGGGAGAGGUAGACGGUACUCGGUAGGAAGGGGUAAAAUCCUUUGAUCUAUUGAUGACCACCUGUGGCGAAGGCGGUCUACCAGAACACGUUCGACGGUGAGGGAUGAAAGCUGGGGGAGCAAACCGGAUUAGAUACCCGGGUAGUCCCAGCUGUAAACUAUGCAAACUCAGUGAUGCAUUGGCUUAUGGCCAAUGCAGUGCUGCAGGGAAGCCGUUAAGUUUGCCGCCUGGGAAGUACGUACGCAAGUAUGAAACUUAAAGGAAUUGGCGGGGGAGCAC